GGGGAACUGAAACAUCUAAGUACCCGGAGGAAGAGAAAGAAAAAUCGAUUUCCUAAGUAGCGGCGAGCGAACGGGAAAGAGCCCAAACCAGAAACUUGUUUCUGGGGUUGUGGAUAGAUCAUAAAAGAAGAGGUAUCUUAAUCGAAGAGGGCUGGAACGCCCUACCAUAGAAGGUAAUAGUCCUGUAGAUAAAAAGAGAAAACUUCGAGAUCUAAUCCAGAGUACCACGAGACACGUGAAACCUUGUGGGAAGCAGGGAGGACCACCUCCCAAGGCUAAAUACUACCUAGUGACCGAUAGUGAAGCAGUACCGUGAGGGAAAGGUGAAAAGAACCCCGGAAGGGGAGUGAAAUAGAACCUGAAACCGUGUGCCUACAACCGAUCGGAGCACGUUAAAGUGUGACGAUGUGCUUUUUGUAGAACGAGCCAGCGAGUUACGCUAUGUAGCAAGGUUAAGUACUUAAGGUAUGGAGCCGAAGGGA
RNAcentral lists this ribosomal RNA (482 nucleotides) under Clostridium botulinum. Its description in RNAcentral is "partial 23S ribosomal RNA". It matches the Rfam family "Bacterial large subunit ribosomal RNA", at positions 187 to 674 of the family's 2925-position model. Lineage: Bacteria; Bacillati; Bacillota; Clostridia; Eubacteriales; Clostridiaceae. The record is from RNAcentral.